CGGAGGGAGGCCCUAAGGGACCUCCGGAGGGCUAACUGACCAGACCCUCAGAAGAUCGCUAAGAAAGGCACAAGAUGUCGUAGGCAUAAAAUGCUACAGGCACAUGCUGCCUCUCGCGUGAAGACAAGAAGAGUACAAGAUGUUGUAGGCAUAAGAUGCCAUAAGUACACCUGCCUCUCAUGAGGGCUAACUAGUUAGACUCUCAGAAUAACGUCGAGGAGGGCAUAAGAUGCUGUAGGCACAAGAUGCUGCAGGCACAUGCUGCCUCUCA
RNAcentral lists this long non-coding RNA (271 nucleotides) under Elaeis guineensis (African oil palm). RNAcentral describes it as "long non-coding RNA (EGUI_LNC009795)". Lineage: Eukaryota; Viridiplantae; Streptophyta; Magnoliopsida; Arecales; Arecaceae. The record is from RNAcentral.